This 508-nucleotide long non-coding RNA is filed under the name Mytilus galloprovincialis (Mediterranean mussel). The record is from RNAcentral. Lineage: Eukaryota; Metazoa; Mollusca; Bivalvia; Mytilida; Mytilidae.
AACAACUAGACCUUUACUGGCAAUUUUCCUUUUUUUGAGUUGACAUUCUUCGCACAUUUCUUUAAACAAAUUCAGAGCAUGCCUUGUCACAUUCGCGUACUUCUUGUUGACCUCUUUUAACAUUUUAUCUCUUCCACCAUGUCCAGUGUUCAAAUGUGCUCUCAUUAUAAUGCUGUAUAUUUCCUCUGCAUAUGCAUAAUAUAGGAUAGGAUCUGUCAAUGACUGUCGCUUUUUAAUCAAUUUUUCUACAUCACCACAGUGUAACACAUCAAAUCUGCAAUUUCAAAGUAUAUAAAUUUGUUAAUUUGUAAUUUUUCAACGGUUGCCUUAUACAAUUAGCAUUAAAAAUCAAUUUAGUAGCAGAAAAAAGAGAAAAAAAAACAAAAAGUCUCAAGUGUUUUGUCAAUGAAUUGGUGCAUGCUAAAUUUCCAGUGGCAAAUAUUUCAUUCAUAUUCAAUAGGUCUAUGAGGCAACUUAAUGAGAGUUGUCUCAUUGGCAAUCAUACCAC